RNAcentral lists this ribosomal RNA (404 nucleotides) under uncultured bacterium. RNAcentral describes it as "partial 16S ribosomal RNA". It matches the Rfam family "Bacterial small subunit ribosomal RNA", at positions 28 to 526 of the family's 1533-position model. The record is from RNAcentral.
GACGAACGCUGGCGGCGUGCUUAACACAUGCAAGUCGAGCGGAGCGGCGAACGGGUGAGUAACGCGUGAGUAACUGCCCCCCUCCCUGGGAUAACAGUUGGAAACGGCUGCUAAUACCGGAUAGUGGGGGAUGACUCGCGUCCUAUCAGCUUGUUGGUGGGGUAGUGGCCUACCAAGGCGACGACGGGUAGCCGGACUGAGAGGGCGACCGGCCACAAUGGACUGAGAUACGGACCAAACUCCUACUGGAGGCAGCAGUGGGGACUAUUGCACAGUAGGGGAAACCCUGAUGCAGCAACGCGCGUGCGGGAUGUCGGCCUUCGAGUUGUAAACCGCUUUCAUCCAUGACGCGGUAGUGGCAGAGGAAGCACCGGCUAACUACGUGCCAGCAGCCGCGGUAAUUC